RNAcentral lists this ribosomal RNA (683 nucleotides) under Dothiora ribesia. RNAcentral describes it as "partial 28S ribosomal RNA". It matches the Rfam family "Eukaryotic large subunit ribosomal RNA", at positions 73 to 773 of the family's 3401-position model. The record is from RNAcentral. Lineage: Eukaryota; Fungi; Ascomycota; Dothideomycetes; Dothideales; Dothioraceae.
GAUUGCCCUAGUAACGGCGAGUGAAGCGGCAAUAGCUCAAAUUUGAAAGCUGGCUUAUGGCCCGCAUUGUAAUUUGUAGAGGAUGCUUUUAGGCAGCCGCCGGUCUAAGUUCCUUGGAACAGGACGUCAUAGAGGGUGAGAAUCCCGUAUGUGACCGGCUCUGGCACCUUAUGUAAAGCUCCUUCGACGAGUCGAGUUGUUUGGGAAUGCAGCUCUAAAUGGGAGGUAAAUUUCUUCUAAAGCUAAAUACUGGCGAGAGACCGAUAGCGCACAAGUAGAGUGAUCGAAAGAUGAAAAGCACUUUGGAAAGAGAGUUAAAAAGCACGUGAAAUUGUUGAAAGGGAAGCGCUUGCAAUCAGACUUGGACUUGACUGUUCAACAGGUCUUCUGACCUGCCUAUUCAGUCUUGUCCAGGCCAGCAUCAGUUUCGGCGGCCGGACAAAGGCCCCAGGAAUGUGGCUUUCCCUUCGGGGGAAGUGUUAUAGCCUAGGGUGUAAUACGGCCAGCCGGGACUGAGGUCCGCGCUUCGGCUAGGAUGCUGGCGUAAUGGUUGUAAGCGGCCCGUCUUGAAACACGGACCAAGGAGUCUAACAUCUAUGCGAGUGUUAGGGUGUCAAACCCUUACGCGUAAUGAAAGUGAACGGAGGUGAGAACCCGCAAGGGUGCAUCAUCGACCGAUCCUG